This 119-nucleotide ribosomal RNA is filed under the name Triticum aestivum (bread wheat). Lineage: Eukaryota; Viridiplantae; Streptophyta; Magnoliopsida; Poales; Poaceae. The record is from RNAcentral.
GGAUGCGAUCAUACCAGCACUAAAGCACCGGAUUCCAUCAGAACUCCGAAGUUAAGCGUGCUUGGGUGAGAGUAGUACUAGGAUGGGUGACCUCCUGGGAAGUCCUCGUGUUGCAUUCC